GACGAACGCUGGCGGCAUGCUUAACACAUGCAAGUCGAACGAAACCUCCUUGUUUUUUUGCGCUCGGCUACGUAACACCUGGGAAGUUGCCCUUACGUAUGGUACAAUUCCCUGACAGAUGAGUUCAUCCCGGUUAAUGUCUUACCACCAAAGAUUUCUUGCUUCUGAAUGGGCCUGCGUUAGAUUAGCUGGUUGGUAGGGUAAAAGCCUCCCAAGGCGACGUUGCAUAGCUGGUCGGUGAGGAUGACCAGCCACACUGGGACUGAGACACGGCCCAGAAUCCUACGGGAGGCAGCAGUGGAGAAUAUUGGAAAAUGAGCGAAAGCCUGAUCCAGCAAUGCCGGGUGAGUGAUGAAGGCCUUAGGGUUGUAAAGCUCUUUUACCCGAGAUGAUAAUGACAGUACCGGGAGAAUAAGCACCGGCUAACUCCGUG
RNAcentral lists this ribosomal RNA (433 nucleotides) under uncultured bacterium. RNAcentral describes it as "partial 16S ribosomal RNA". It matches the Rfam family "Bacterial small subunit ribosomal RNA", at positions 28 to 507 of the family's 1533-position model. The record is from RNAcentral.